UUUUUCUAAUUACUUGCAAGCGAUGUGUAAAUUAGAUUAAUUCAAUCCAUGAGUUUGGAACAAUUUGUUUGGCCUUCUAUCAUUAACUCUUGUUCUACAAAGCCGUUUGUUUUGAAAUCUUUAUUCAAGAAAUUCAAGGACACACGUUUAUUCAUAAAUUUAGAUAAUAUUUCACUAAAUAAGUUGAAAUUGACC
Molecule: small nuclear RNA, 195 nt
Organism: Arabidopsis thaliana (thale cress)
Lineage: Eukaryota; Viridiplantae; Streptophyta; Magnoliopsida; Brassicales; Brassicaceae
Source: RefSeq